This 70-nucleotide transfer RNA is filed under the name Brentisentis yangtzensis. RNAcentral's name for it is "tRNA-Thr". The record is from RNAcentral. Lineage: Eukaryota; Metazoa; Acanthocephala; Palaeacanthocephala; Echinorhynchida; Leptorhynchoididae.
CAUGGUAUUUUAUAUAGAAUGUAAAUUUUGUAAAUUUAAGGAUAGGUGGUCAGUAAUAGUCUUAUUUUGA